AGAGUUUGAUCCUGGCUCAGGACGAACGCUGGCGGUGUGCUUCACACAUGCAAGUCGAGCGAAUGAAGAAGGUAGCUUGCUACUUUUGGAUUUAGCGGCGGACGGGUGAGUAAUAUAUAGGAAUCUGCCCUAGAGCGGGGAACAACAGACCGAAAGGUUUGCUAAUGCCCCAUAGGUACGCAGUCUUCGGAUUGUUUAUUAAAGGAGUAAUCCACUCUAGGAUGAGCCUGUAUCCGAUUAGCUAGUUGGCGGGGUAAAGGCCCACCAAGGCUACGAUCGGUAGUUGGUCUGAGAGGAUGAUCAGCCACAAUGGGACUGAGACACGGCCCAUACUCCUACGGGAGGCAGCAGUGGGGAAUUUUACACAAUGGGGGAAACCCUGAUGUAGCGACACCGCGUGAACGAAGAAGCCUUUUGGGGUGUAAAGUUCUGUCGGCUGGAACGAAAAAAAUGACGGUACCAGCAAAGGAAGCAUCGGCUAACUGCGUGCCAGCAGCCGCGGUAAGACGUAGGAUGCAAGCGUUGUCCGGAUUUAUUGGGCGUAAAGAGUUCGUAGGCGGUUAUUUAAGUCUGGUGUUAAAUACUGUGGCCCAACCACAGAACUGCAUUGGAUACUGGAUGACUUGAGUGCGGUAGAGGCGAGUGGAAUUCCCAGUGUAGCGGUGAAAUGCGUAGA
This 676-nucleotide ribosomal RNA is filed under the name uncultured bacterium. Its description in RNAcentral is "bacterial SSU rRNA". It matches the Rfam family "Bacterial small subunit ribosomal RNA", at positions 8 to 694 of the family's 1533-position model. The record is from RNAcentral.